RNAcentral lists this long non-coding RNA (3141 nucleotides) under Homo sapiens (human). RNAcentral's name for it is "non-protein coding lnc-ANKMY1-5:6". The record is from RNAcentral. Lineage: Eukaryota; Metazoa; Chordata; Mammalia; Primates; Hominidae.
GAUGCAUUGGCCUCCCCCUGCAGGAGUUGGGAACGCGCAGAUUCCGCGAAUCACAGUUUUCAGAUAUGGCUGAAAUUGAUAACCCAAGUGAGCAGCUCAGGGAUCAGGACCUGAGGUUUUCAGCACAAACGACAAGAGGUUCAAGUAGAAAAGCAGAAGCGGAACAUGCAAUAUGCAGCCCGUGCCUGGCUUCCCUCACUCAGCUUGACGAAAUCACAGAACAGAUUGUUCUCAAGGAGGCCCCCGUGGUGUUUUCCGGAGCUCCUCUGCCAGGUGGCAGUCUGAAAGACCCCCCCACCCAGACAGCCCUCUGCGAUCUGCGAAGUGAGCAGAGCUGCAUGUGCUGCUCAUCCUUCACCCCUUCAUUCAUUCACUUGGAAGCACCCAGUGAGCACUGUGAAGUCGUGGGCGCUGGUCCAGUGGUGACUGAGGGCAGUGGUGGGUGCCAGGUCCAGUGGUGACCGAGGGCAGUGUCCUCAGGGACUCACGGUUGGCUGUCCUUAGGGACUCACGGUUGGCUGUGGGGACACAGUGGUGUGCACCGGGUCCAGCGGUGACCGAGGGCAGUGGUGGGUGUCGGGUCCAGUGGUGACCGAGGGCAGUGGUGGGCGACGUGUCCAGUGGCGACCGAGGGCAGUGGUGGGUGCUGGGUUCAGUGGUGACCGAGGGUGUCAGUCCUCAGGUAGUCACAGUUAGCUGUGGGGACACAGUGGUGUAUGCCAGGUCCAGUGGUGACCGAGGGCAGUGGUGGGCGCUGGUCCAUUGGUGACCAAGGGUACUCGUCUUCAGGGACUCACAGCUGGGGGGGCACCAAUGAGCAAAGAAAGAAGAAAGAACAAAAGGAAGAUGGGUGGGUGCAGCACAUGCUGCUGGGGCCAGGAGGAGCCUCACCCUGUUGUUCCAGGCCCGGCACCCCCAGCCUGUUCCGGGAAAACUGUCUGGCAAGGCAGGCCUGACCUUGCCCAGGCCACGCUGGCCCCUCUCCCUCUGAACCUCGUGGCUCAUGGCCCAGGACCCGAUGGCAGCGAGCCCAUGGGGGUGAGCCUGGGAAGGAUGCUCUGUGUGGAUGGGGAGUGGCAGGGGCAGGAUUGUGGUCUGGGCUUAGGAGGGGGAGUCCUGCGUGCCCCGGGGAGGCUGACUUUUCGGCAUUAGAAGGAAAUUUGCCUUGAAAAAGAACCUGGGACAGUGCCUGAAAGACACAACUGGGAGGGUCCGAGGCUGGCCAACCCCAGAACUGAGUUCUUGGCCAGCUGCCCAGGGCACCUGGCUUGGUAGGAGGCUGGAGAGGCACUAGAGCCCGCUGAGGAUGUCCGGCCCUCGCACUCUCUGGCUGCCCUGGGUGCACCCACCUGCCAAAUGCAGACUUCUCAGCACCCCUCAAGCCUGCCUGAUUCCCCUGCUGGGAAGAGCACGCCAGCACUCCUGACCUGGAGCUGUCCUUCUCAGCACGUGGUCUCAGAGAGCGGGCGGUGGGUGAGACCAUGCGGGGGUCGUUGGGUAUAAAAUGGAUUGAUCUUGAGCUGUGGUUCAUCUCCGUGAGCACCAGAGCGUGGAGCUAAAAGAUGGCUUCAUCUACGGAGGACAAAAUUUACUUUCAAUAUCUCACUUUAUGGGGGAUAUGAACUGUGAGUUUAGGAGCCAAGUCCAGCAUGCUAAAAAUCUUCCAAGCUGUUUCAUUUUCUUAUCUCCAAGGAACCGGUGAGAAUAUGUGGGUAAGUAUUGGAAUCUGACACGUACAGCUCAUAGGCAGAUGGGAUCCUUCAAGGUGGUUUAGACGCGUCCUCUGGGCUGGCAGCAAAUCACUUCUGGGCUCCACUGUUUGCCACCUUUGCUGUGGAACACAGCGGAACCUGCAGCAUCUGGGCUGGGAUUGGACUUCAGAGGGUGCACAUGUGGUUUUUGUGGGCAGUUUUUCUCAGUGGCCUUUUUAUUGAGGAAUAACAUACAUACGGAAAGGUUCCCAAAUCAUAGAUGUAUGGCUUGAUGCAUUUUAAAAAGUGGACACACCCUGAAACUUCCAUCCAGACAAAGAGACAUGGUGUUUGCAGCACCCCAUCUCGCAGGCCCCCUUAGAGGGAACCGCUAUUCUGACUUUCAUGACCGUGAAUGAGGUUUGCCUGGGAUUGAACUUUACAUACAUGAAAUCGUAAGCUAUGGACCCUUUAGUGUCUGGCUUCUUUUGCUCAAGUUAGAUUUGUGAGAUUCGUCUAGAUCAUUAUGGGCAGAAAUUCUUUCUUUCUCCAUGGCUGUCUUCGAUGGUCUGAGUACACUUCUUUUUAAACAAAUUUAAUUUAAUUUUAAGUUCCGGUAUCCGUGUGUGGGACGUGCAGGUUUGUUACAUAGGUAAAUGUGUGCCAUGGUGGUUUGCUGCACCCAUCAGCCCAUCACCCAGGUAUUAAGCCCAGCACACAUUCGCUAUUUAUCCUGCUUGAGGGUCUCUCUCUUCUCACGCAUGAACAGCGUUGUUCUUUUGCAUAGUUCAGGGCUGUGGGGCAUAGUGUGGCCCCGCGUUCAUGUGCGUGUCUCAUGGUGAACACAGGCAGGCGUUGGGCAUAAAUCCAACCAUCACACAUGCAUUGCAAAUAUCUACUCACAGUUUCUGGCUUAGUUUUAAUUCUCUUAACAGUGUCCCUUGAUAAACAGGCAUUCUUAACUUUAACAAAGUCCAAAGUUUCCAUCUUUCCAUUAGUCUUCAGAAAAAUAAGUAGCAUUUAACAAUUCUAUUUUCUAUUUGUGUUACUGGUAUAUUGGGAUACAAUGUUUCAUGCUAACCACAUAUCUUGUGUCUUGCUAAAUUCUCAUAUUAACUGUAACAAUUUAGCUGUAGAUUCUUUUGGAUUUUCUACAUGCACAAUUGUGUUACCUGUAACUAAUUACAGUUUCAUGUCUUUAUUUCCAGUCCCAUACUUUUGCUUUCCUUUCCUACCUUCUCAUCCUGGCCUGGGCCUCCACCACCACAUUUGACAGAAAUGAAAAUAGCAGACUCUUGUCUCAUUCCUGACAUCAGGGGAAAACUUUUGACAUUUUAUCAGGAAGUGUGUUGGCUGUAGGCUUUAGGCUUUUUGAUGAUAUCUGUAUCAUAUUAAGAAAGUUACUUUCUCAGACUUCUUUUACUUUUACAGCCUGGGCAACAGAGCAAGA